Molecule: ribosomal RNA, 259 nt
Filed under: uncultured bacterium
Lineage: Bacteria
Description: partial 16S ribosomal RNA
Rfam family: Bacterial small subunit ribosomal RNA
Source: RNAcentral
CGUAGGGUGCAAGCGUUAAAUCGGAAUUACUGGGCGUAAAAGCGUGCGCAGGCGGUUUUUGUAAGUCUGAUGUGAAAUCCCCGGGCUCAACCUGGGAACUGCAUUGGAGACUGCAAGGCUAGAGUGUGUCAGAGGGGGGUAGAAUUCCACGUGUAGCAGUGAAAUGCGUAGAGAUGUGGAGGAAUACCGAUGGCGAAGGCAGCCCCCUGGGAUAACACUGACGCUCAUGCACGAAAGCGUGGGGAGCAAAACAGGAUUA